AAACUGAGGAUAAUACUGGAUAGGCAAUUUUUCCUGUAAUGGUUUUUUGUUUAAAUGUUUUUUCGCCUAAGGAUGGGUCUGCGGCCGAUUAGGUAGUUGGUUAGGUAAUGGCUUACCAAGCCGUUGAUCGGUACGGGUUGUGAGAGCAAGAGCCCGGAGAUGGAACCUGAGACAAGGUUCCAGGCCCUACGGGGUGCAGCAGGCGCGAAACCUCCGCAAUGUGAGAAAUCGCGACGGGGGGAUCCCAAGUGCCAUUCUUAACGGGAUGGCUUUUCAUUAGUGUAAAGAGCUUUUGGAAUAAGAGCUGGGCAAGACCGGUGCCAGCCGCCGCGGUAACACCGGCAGCUCUAGUGGUAGCAACUUUUAUUGGGCCUAAAGCGUCCGUAGCCGGUUUAAUAAGUCUCUGGUGAAAUCCUGUAGCUUAACUGUGGGAACUGCUGGAGAUACUAUUAGACUUGAGACCGGGAGAGGUUGGAGGUACUCCCAGGGUAGAGGUGAAAUUCUGUAAUCCUGGGAGGACCGCCUGUUGCGAAGGCGUCUAACUGGAACGGUUCUGACGGUGAGGGACGAAAGUUAGGGGCGCGAACCGGAUUAGAUACCCGGGUAGUCCUAACUGUAAACGAUGCGGACUUGGUGUUGGGGUGGCUUUGAGCUGUCCCAGUGCCGAAGGGAAGCUGUUAAGUCCGCCGCCUGGGAAGUACGGUCGCAAGACUGAAACUUAA
This 722-nucleotide ribosomal RNA is filed under the name uncultured archaeon. Its description in RNAcentral is "bacterial SSU rRNA". It matches the Rfam family "Archaeal small subunit ribosomal RNA", at positions 137 to 859 of the family's 1478-position model. The record is from RNAcentral.